This is a microRNA precursor of Loxodonta africana (African savanna elephant), 81 nucleotides long. The record is from Rfam. Lineage: Eukaryota; Metazoa; Chordata; Mammalia; Proboscidea; Elephantidae.
GUGUGUGGUACCUUACUCCAGAAGGUGGCAAUCGUGUGUUCUUAAGCAUGAUUGACACUGCUGGGGUUGAGUAACGCAUGA